This 166-nucleotide non-coding RNA is filed under the name Monodelphis domestica (gray short-tailed opossum). RNAcentral describes it as "Archaeal large subunit ribosomal RNA". It matches the Rfam family "Archaeal large subunit ribosomal RNA", at positions 1883 to 2090 of the family's 2987-position model. Lineage: Eukaryota; Metazoa; Chordata; Mammalia; Didelphimorphia; Didelphidae. The record is from Rfam by way of RNAcentral.
AAACCCGGUCUGUUUACCAAAAACAUCACCUCUAUCAUUCUAAGUAUUAGAGGCAAUGCCUGCCCAGUGGGUUAACUUCAAAGGCCCAUGGUAUGCUACCUUGCAAAGGUAGCAUAAUCACUUGUCUCCUAAAUAGAGACUUGUAUGAAUGGCAAAACAAGGGUUU